GAUGAAGAACGGAGCGAAAUGCGAUAAGUAAUGCGAAUUGCAGAAUUCAGUGAAUCAUCGAAUCUUUGAACGCACAUUGCGCCCGCCAGUAUUCUGGCGGGCAUGCCUGUCUGAGCGUCGUUUCGACCCUCGCGCCCGGCUUCUGUCGGGGGCGGUGUUGGGGAUCGGCCACACCCUUCAGUGGGAGGCCGGCCCCUAAAUUCAGUGGCGACCACGCUGUAGCCUCCCCUGCGUAGUACUAAAACCACCUCGCAGGCGGAGAGCGGUGCGGCCCGCCGUAAAACCCCCCAACUUUUACAAGGUCGACCUCAGAUCAGGUAGGAAUACCCGCUGAACUUAAGCAUAUCAAUAAGCGGAGGA
RNAcentral lists this unclassified non-coding RNA (360 nucleotides) under soil metagenome. RNAcentral describes it as "partial contains 5.8S ribosomal RNA, internal transcribed spacer 2, and large subunit ribosomal RNA". The stretch from base 1 to 120 matches the Rfam family "5.8S ribosomal RNA", at positions 35 to 154 of the family's 154-position model. The record is from RNAcentral.